CUGAGCCUGCUGUUAGGGUCUGGGCAGCACUGAUUCUCACCUUGGCCCUCCCAGCCUGAGCACCGGAGUUCCUGACCAGCCAAAAUUGGGUUGGACGAAUUCCUCUACAGAAGCCCCAAGCCUCCAGGCUGGCCCCAAGGCCUGGCCAAGGCUUGUGCUGUAUUCCCCCACUUCAGUGGGGAGGAGUGGUGAAGAGCAUGCUGUUGAUGGCCUCAUUGUGAACCACAUCUGUGCCACUUCUUAAGCUGUGUGAAUAAGCUGUGUGACUCUGGGCAAGUUACCACACCUCUCUGAGUUUCCUGGUGAUAAAAUGAAGGGAGCCGUCCACUCGAGCCAGGGAUGCAAUCAGAGGAGAAGCCAAGAGGAUGAGAGGAGAAGGAGGAAGUGUCUGACACCUGCGAGGAGGCCACUGUAGUCAUCCAGAACCACCACUAAGAUACAUCUGUGCUGAAGGCCUCAGAUCGGCACUUCUCUGAAGAACGUUCCAGAAAAGAGUGGAAAACAUUGUUUUAGGUGGGCCCCUCUUGGAGGCUCAGGAGGCAUGCUAGCAUAGUAAAGGCUCUGAUAAGUCCUGCCGCAAGGAGAUUUUCUCAAGUUUGUUUGCUCACGGAAGUCCUUUGGGCAGAACACCCACCAGCAUCCUACAGUCUCUGCUCUGCCAUCCAUGAUGAACGGUCUGCCUACAGAACGGUCUGUGACUUUCUCUUGGUGGCUGUUGGGCUGGGAGGACCCAGACAAGAUCAGUCCCAGUUAUAUCCACCGAAUACAGAUCCACGGAUGUCCCCAGGUUGGUGGCUGCGUCUUUGCCCCAGCCUCAGUCCAUUAGAAAGUGAUCUUUGCAGCUGGAACUACUGACAUUAGCUCCAGUUCCUCCAGGUGUUAUUUCAUUCCUGGAUGCCUGAAAAUCCCUGAAAGUGCUGCUUGAGCCAAAUUCAGAAGACAUGAUAAACCAGGUUAAUUUUAGGGCCCAUGACAAUAAGCAGGUGUCCUCUCAGUGGGUUGGUUGGAUAAAUGAGUUAAUUUUGUCCAAGCUCCAAACAUCUUGGGGACUUUGGUGCUGAGGGUGCACAUAUGUGUUGGGGGGUGGGUAGGGGAAAUAGUUCCUGCAUAGAACUGCUCCAGGGGGUUUGUGGAGACCUGACAAAGGACAGCUGCAUACUCAGCACUGCAAUUACUGGUGGUAAAAUGGUCCGACGGUAGAUCCCAGUGAGGGAGCUUGGCGGGUGGGCUUGGCAUUCUUUAGAAAACCCCACAUCAGCAGCUUUGCUGGUGGGAGUGGGGGUGAUUGGGGACCUUGGUGCCUUAUCCUGAGGCUGGGCAAGGCAGUCCAGGGCAGUGGAGGGUGGGACAGAGGGGAAGGUGUUUUUCAGAGUGAUCCCAGCAAGGGCAGAGACAAGAAUGGGGGUUUUAGGCAGACCACAUAGGUCGUUGGGGGAACCUCAGCUGUGCUCUGAAGGGACUGUGUGAUGUUGGGGGGCUCCUUUGGACUCUCUGAGCCUCAAUUUCCUCAUCUGCAAAUGGAGGCAAUAAUCUCUCUCUCUCUUUCAGAAUAAUGAAUGGAAUAACUUGGGCUAAGUGCCUAGAAAUAUCUGGCACAUAAUAUGUGCUCUUGUGAAUACCAAUUCUCCCCCAUUUCUUUGGAUAAGCUCAGAGACUGGCAGAGAGGUGUUUUUUUUUUUUUUAACUUUUAAUUGAAGUGUAACAUACACAUAGAAAAGUGCAUACAGCUUUUUUUUUUUUUUAAUUUACAAUUUAUUUCAACUCUUCCAGGGCUGGGAAUGUUACAAAACCUUAAACCAAU
RNAcentral lists this long non-coding RNA (1801 nucleotides) under Homo sapiens (human). RNAcentral describes it as "HSALNT0002499". Lineage: Eukaryota; Metazoa; Chordata; Mammalia; Primates; Hominidae. The record is from RNAcentral.